AAAAUAUGAUGAGGCCAUUCUCUAAUAAUUUCCUUAAAUACUUUUCAACUCUUAUAAAUGUAUUCUCCUUCAAAAUGAGUAAAAUAAGUCAUGUCAUUUCUAACUUU
This is a small nucleolar RNA of Dendrobium catenatum, 107 nucleotides long. NCBI's taxonomy places the organism in Eukaryota, Viridiplantae, Streptophyta, Magnoliopsida, Asparagales, Orchidaceae. The record is from RefSeq and is a predicted model, not a curated record.